Long non-coding RNA from Gymnodraco acuticeps, 401 nucleotides. RefSeq lists it as uncharacterized. The transcript is spliced from 3 exons. Lineage: Eukaryota; Metazoa; Chordata; Actinopteri; Perciformes; Bathydraconidae. The record is from RefSeq and is a predicted model, not a curated record.
CUACAGCUGUCUGUGUGUCUGCUACAGGAGUUUAGUUUAUGGAUUCAUAUCGGGAUCGUUUUACAUCUACACGUUAAAUAUGAGCAUCGGGACGUCAACAAAGAACAGAAGACUUGAGAUCUGAGCACCAGUGGACAGUGAGGACUAUGGAAGAGAAGAUGUGAUGGUUUUGUGUGGAAAGCUGCUGACGCCAGCCUGUGUCCCUCAUCAGUCUCUCCAGGCAGCACCCAGCUAUUCUUGCAGAUGAAAAUACUUUGAUAUCACCUGGACACAGCAGGAACCUACGCCAGGAUCCUGUUUGUGGACUUCAGCUCUGCCUUCAACACAACCCUCUGGCUGGAGGCUGCGCUCCAUCAGGACCAACACCUCUCUCCCUCAGGACCAGAACCUCUCUCCAUCAG